RNAcentral lists this ribosomal RNA (253 nucleotides) under uncultured bacterium. RNAcentral's name for it is "partial 16S ribosomal RNA". It matches the Rfam family "Bacterial small subunit ribosomal RNA", at positions 524 to 776 of the family's 1533-position model. The record is from RNAcentral.
UACGUAUGGUGCAAGCGUUAUCCGGAUUUACUGGGCGUAAAGGGGGCGCAGGCGGCGCGCCAAGUCUGAUGUGAAACCCCGGGGCUCAACCCCGGGCAUGCAUUGGAAACUGGCGGGCUGGAGUGCCGGAGAGGUAAGCGGAAUUCCUAGUGUAGCGGUGAAAUGCGUAGAUAUUAGGAGGAACACCAGUGGCGAAGGCGGCUUACUGGACGGCAACUGACGCUGAGGCUCGAAAGCGUGGGGAGCAAACAGG